AGUGAACGCUGGCGGUAGGCCUAACACAUGCAAGUCGAACGGCAGCACAGUAAGAGCUUGCUCUUACGGGUGGCGAGUGGCGGACGGGUGAGGAAUACAUCGGAAUCUACUUUUUCGUGGGGGAUAACGUAGGGAAACUUACGCUAAUACCGCAUACGACCUACGGGUGAAAGCAGGGGAUCUUCGGACCUUGCGCGAUUGAAUGAGCCGAUGUCGGAUUAGCUAGUUGGCGGGGUAAAGGCCCACCAAGGCGACGAUCCGUAGCUGGUGUGAGAGGAUGAUCAGCGACACUGGGACUGAGACACGGUCCAGACUCCUACGGGAGGCAGAGGUGGGGAAUAUUGGACAAUGGGCGCAAGCCUGAUCCAGCCAUACCGCGUGGGUGAAGAAGGCCUUCGGGUUGUAAAGCCCUUUUGUUGUGAAAGAAAAGCAGCAGGUUAACACCCCGCUGUUCUGACGGUACCCAAAGAAUAAGCACCGGCUAACUUCGUG
This 492-nucleotide ribosomal RNA is filed under the name uncultured bacterium. Its description in RNAcentral is "partial 16S ribosomal RNA". It matches the Rfam family "Bacterial small subunit ribosomal RNA", at positions 29 to 507 of the family's 1533-position model. The record is from RNAcentral.